AAACAAUGACAGCGUCACACGUACCGCUGUCCGCCCGGGUACUACGAGCACUAGCUUAAAACCCAAAGGACUUGGCGGUGCUUCAUACCCACCUAGAGGAGCCUGUUCUAGAACCGAUAAUCCCCGUUCAACCUCACCCUCUCUUGUCCCAUUCCGCCUAUAUACCACCGUCGUCAGCUUACCCUCUGAGGGUCUUAUAGUAAGCAAGACUGGCAUAACCCCAAACGUCAGGUCGAGGUGUAGCGCAUGAGAGGGGAAGAAAUGGGCUACAUUCUCUAUCACAGAGAACACGGACGGUACAAUGAAAUAAAUACCUUGAAGGAGGAUUUAGCAGUAAGUAUAAAGUAGAACAUUUU
RNAcentral lists this ribosomal RNA (356 nucleotides) under Diretmoides pauciradiatus. RNAcentral's name for it is "partial 12S ribosomal RNA". It matches the Rfam family "Bacterial small subunit ribosomal RNA", at positions 804 to 1358 of the family's 1533-position model. Lineage: Eukaryota; Metazoa; Chordata; Actinopteri; Trachichthyiformes; Diretmidae. The record is from RNAcentral.